GGGAAUCUUAGACAAUGGGGGCAACCCUGAUCUAGCCAUGCCGCGUGAGUGAUGAAGGCCUUAGGGUUGUAAAGCUCUUUCAGCUGGGAAGAUAAUGACGGUACCAGCAGAAGAAGCCCCGGCUAACUCCGUGCCAGCAGCCGCGGUAAUACGGAGGGGGCUAGCGUUGUUCGGAAUUACUGGGCGUAAAGCGCACGUAGGCGGACUGGAAAGUUGGGGGUGAAAUCCCGGGGCUCAACCUCGGAACUGCCUUCAAAACUAUCGGUCUGGAGUUCGAGAGAGGUGAGUGGAAUUCCGAGUGUAGAGGUGAAAUUCGUAGAUAUUCGGAGGAACACCAGUGGCGAAGGCGGCUCACUGGCUCGAUACUGACGCUGAGGUGCGAAAGCGUGGGGAGCAAACAGG
This 402-nucleotide ribosomal RNA is filed under the name uncultured bacterium. RNAcentral describes it as "bacterial SSU rRNA". It matches the Rfam family "Bacterial small subunit ribosomal RNA", at positions 357 to 776 of the family's 1533-position model. The record is from RNAcentral.